RNAcentral lists this ribosomal RNA (460 nucleotides) under uncultured bacterium. Its description in RNAcentral is "partial 16S ribosomal RNA". It matches the Rfam family "Bacterial small subunit ribosomal RNA", at positions 338 to 795 of the family's 1533-position model. The record is from RNAcentral.
CCUACGGGAGGCAGCAGUGAGGAAUAUUGGUCAAUGGACGCAAGUCUGAACCAGCCACGCCGCGUGCAGGAAGACGGCUCUCUGAGUUGUAAACUGCUUUUGUACGAGGGUAAACGCAGAUACGCGUAUCUGUCUGCAAGUAUCGUACGAAUAAGGAUCGGCUAACUCCGUGCCAGCAGCCGCGGUGAUACGGAGGAUUCAAGCGUUAUCCGGAUUUAUUGGGUUUAAAGGGUGCGUAGGCGGUCGGAUAAGUUAGAGGUGAAAUCCCGAGGCUCAACUUCGGAAUUGCCUCGGAUACUGUUCGGCUAGAGAGUAGUUGCGGUAGGCGGAAUGUAAGGUGUAGCGGUGAAAUGCUUAGAGAUCAUACAGAACACCGAUUGCGAAGGCAGCUUACCAGGCUACUUCUGACGUUGAGGCACGAAAGCGUGGGGAGCAAACAGGAUUAGAUACCCCAGUAGUC